GGCAGGCGGCGGCCCAGCUCAGCCGGCUCCCGGGGCCUCGGCGCCGCGGCCCCUACCCCCACCCCCGCGUGCGCCUGGCGAGACUCUCCGGGACUCUCCUAGCGGAGAUCCACUUGUCAGUUCAAGGGCAGGACAGAAACUGCAAGCUGAGUCUUGUGAGCAGGAAAUUUUUCAUUGACAAGUUCCAGGCCCCCAUAUCAAACUGCACAGCAGAUAUCUCACCUUGGCAUCCAUAUUCAGCUGAGGAGCCACAGCUGGCCUUUACACGCUGGUUUUAAGGAUCAGCGGGUGUCAACUGAUCCACCCUGUUCACCAUGGGAACCUGAGCAUUUAUCUCCAUGAAGGGUGCCUUCCUCCCAGGGAAGCCUUGGAAACCGUGGGGCCAGGAAACUCAAGGCAAAGACUUACUCCUCAGACAAAGCAACCAGACCCUGGCAAGGAGUUGGAAAAACCUCUCUGUGCUCCUAGCCAUACUAAACUGUGGCUCUGCAGUGGAUCAUAUUAUGACCUGCCUCGCCUUUUCCGACUCCUGGGCGAGUUUCUCGGAUUUUGAGCUUGCCUUGAACAUCACUCUUGGGGCUGGCUGCAGAUCCAGCUUAUCAGCAGAGUGCUUACGGAGCAUGUGUGAGACCCCUAGGUUCCAUUUAUAGCCCUACAAAGAAGCAAAAACUCCCCGUGCCCUCCGCCCCCCCCCCGUCCCCCGACACACACACACACACACACACACCAGAGAGAGAGAGAGAGAGAGAGAGAGAGAGAGAGAGAGAGAGAGAGAGAGAGAGAGAGAUAUGCUAUGGGAAGGCGUCCCCAUGCCCCUUCCACUCAAUUCCUCUCCUGAAGUUACAGAGCUUUGGAGAUCUGGGGAGCAGAUUAGCUUUCUUCAGCUCUUAGAACAAUAGCUAGAGUUUACUAAGGGCUUUCUAUCUGACAAACACAGUAUAGACUGAUCUUGUUCCUUAUAGAAAACUAUCAUCACCAUUUCAAAGACGAGGGAAGGAGACCUAGACACUAAACAUGACUGUUUGCCUGGAUACUCACCACCUGAUUUCCCCCAAACCCAACUGCUACCCAAGUCAUCACUGCCCCUGCCCUCAUGGUGGGGGGCAUGGGCAAGUACACGGCAUACCUUCUAGGAUCUAUGGACAGCUUCAUUCUUUGGCCAAUUCCCUGUGCUCAUCAUAAACAGGCUCUGAUGACAAUGUCCUUCACUGCAUCCUGCCACACAAAUGAUGUCCCCUAAGGACAUCAUUGUCCUGCGGUGAAUUUAUCUGCUAGGUCCCUAAGAGAGGGCUUCCCCCACCCCUCUUGUGGCUUGUAAAGCCAAGGAUAAAGCUGGCAGCAAGUCCAGAAUGAAGGCUGGGAUGCCUUCAUGGGUUCAGUGCCAGUGGCUACACUGGGACCUUCCUGGCCUGCUGACUGGCACAGGGAGUUUGGAGGCGAGAUAAAUCUGGAAGAUAAUUUAGCUCCUGUCUUUUCUGAACCAGCCAUGGUCCUCUUCUCUAGGUCUGCUGGCGAUGGAUGAUUAACGUCGAAUGCAUGCUUUCUCUCCUCCUCUCCUCUGCUUCUUCCUUUCUUUGGGGUUAUUUUCCAAUGGCUGCUACAGUUUCUCUUCAGAGUACCCGCGCAGAGCGUGACCCGAAUGCUGCUCUGAAGGGGUCCCAGGUGGCAGAUGGCACCAGAUUACUCCUAUAGGAGCCCCUGCUACUGUUUAGAGUUCAAGGCUAACCCGCCACUGCCAUCAAUUGAGGCCUAAUCCUUUAAUUAUUCUCAAAAUGCCAAAAAUAAAGAUUGCAAGGAAGGCAAUUAAUAGGAUCAUCCGGUGUAUUCCUCAUUUGUAAUUAUAUAUUAUUAUUUUCCUCCCUACUUUGUUCCAAUAAUGAUUUAAGGCUGCUUCCAAAGAUACACAAAUGCAAGCAAAGAUAAAUAAAAGGAGUGGGACGUGAAUUACAAUGUCAUGCCUGCUCGAGACAUCUUUGCCCCAUCUACAUAAGAGAGCUGAAUUCAUAAUGCCUUUCAAAAAUGAGGUAAUUUCGUUCUUUCAGUGGCAACACUAGGCUCUUUGUCAAGAGAAAGGGUAUUACACUGUCUGGAAAGAGCUUGGGGAGGACAGGGGUCUGGUUGGCAAGGCUGGUUGUGCCAGUGUGCGAUCUUAGACAAGUUGUUUGUGUUGGUAUAACAAAAUACCUGAGAUUGAGCAUUUUAUAAAGUGAAGAGGUUUAUUUGGCUCACAAUUCUGGUGCCUGGAAGUUUCCAACAGCAUGGCAUUGGUGUCCUGGUGAGGGGCCCCUGGCUGCAGGACAAUGUGGCAGAGAGGAUAGAAAACAUGAAUGACAAUGUGGCAGAGAGGAUAGAAAACAUGAAUGACAAUGUGGCAGAGAGGAUAGCAGCUUCUUAGAGAAGGGGACAAGAGAGUCAGGUAAUGACUUCUGCUUUGCAACAACCCAAUUUCAGGAAAGCUAAUCCACUCCAGAGAGAUUGCAUUAGCCUCUUAAGAAGGGCUGCUAGGACCCAGUCACCUAAUCACCUCUUAACCAGACCCCACCCCCUAAAGUUGCCAGCACC
This is a long non-coding RNA of Peromyscus maniculatus bairdii (prairie deer mouse), 2562 nucleotides long. RefSeq lists it as uncharacterized. NCBI's taxonomy places the organism in Eukaryota, Metazoa, Chordata, Mammalia, Rodentia, Cricetidae. The record is from RefSeq and is a predicted model, not a curated record.